Molecule: unclassified non-coding RNA, 343 nt
Filed under: soil metagenome
Description: partial contains 5.8S ribosomal RNA, internal transcribed spacer 2, and large subunit ribosomal RNA
Rfam family: 5.8S ribosomal RNA (bases 1-120)
Source: RNAcentral
GAUGAAGAACGCAGCGAAAUGCGAUAAGUAAUGUGAAUUGCAGAAUCCAGUGAAUCAUCGAAUCUUUGAACGCACAUUGCGCCCGCCAGCAUUCUGGCGGGCAUGCCUGUUCGAGCGUCAUUUCAACCCUCGACCUCCCCUUGGGGAGGUCGGCGUUGGGGACCGGCAGCACACCGCCGGCCCUGAAAUGGAGUGGCGGCCCGUCUGCGGCGACCUCUGCGUAGUAAUACAGCUCGCACCGGAACCCCGACGCGGCCACGCCGUAAAACACCCAACUUCUGAACGUUGACCUCGAAGCAGGUAGGACUACCCGCUGAACUUAAGCAUAUCAAUAAGCGGAGGA